RNAcentral lists this long non-coding RNA (234 nucleotides) under Elaeis guineensis (African oil palm). Its description in RNAcentral is "long non-coding RNA (EGUI_LNC030868)". The record is from RNAcentral. Lineage: Eukaryota; Viridiplantae; Streptophyta; Magnoliopsida; Arecales; Arecaceae.
CCCCACCGAUCAAGUCCAUUGUCGGAACCUCCCUUCUCCUCGACCCCUCCUCUAGUGACCCUAACAGCCACUUCCCCUCCACUUCCUCCACCACUGCCGCGUCCAAGUGUUGUCCCUUGCACUCGCCCGCGGCCCUCUUCCGAGGCCUCUCGCCGCGGUGAGGUUUUUUUCUUUUUUAUAUUGCAGAGGACAGAAAAUAGUGGGUCUAUUCUCUCUCUCUCCCACGCUCACCUC